CGAAAUAGUUUGAGCUACAUAAUUAGUUCUUAUAGGGCGAUGAUAUACGUUGCAUAGUAUAAUUUAAAUAUUUAUUUAGGGGUGAAAGGCCUUUCAAAAACUAAGAUAUCUUGAUACCAUAAAAAUGUAUCUAGUACUUAAAACAGAUAUAAAGUGGUUAGGCUUUAUAUUCUUACAAUAUUUAUUUUAUAAGAGUAAUAGAUAUAACUAUCAAUUACAUUAUAAUUUAUCAUUACUAUUGUAAAAUAUGUAUUUAUUUAUGUGGUUUUAUAAUGAAAUUAUUACAUAUAUUAAUAAUGUUAACAUAAGUACUUUGUGAGACUUAAAUAACGAACUCGGCAAAAAUUUUCUUCAACUGUUUAUCAAAAACAUAACUAUAUGAGUAUUACAUAUAUAGCUAUUUCUGCUCAAUGUGUUUAUAAAUAGCCGCAGUACUUUGACUGUGCAAAGGUAGCAUAAUCAAUUGACUUAUAAUUGAAGUCUAGAAUGAAGGAAUCUAUGGGGAAACGCUGUUUCUUUUAAGCUUAUGGAAAUUGCUUUUAGUAGGUGAAAAAACCUACGUUUAAUUAAUAGACGAGAAGACCCUAGAAAUUUUAAUUAGAAAGUAAAGUUUCUUUUUUGUUGGGGCGACAUAGUAGCAAUUGAAACCUACUUUUUAAAUAAGAAUUUAAUAUAAAGAUUAAAUAAAUUACUCUAGGGAUAACAGCAUAAUAUUUAAAAGUUUGUGACCUCGAUGUUGGACUAGGAAAUUAUAGUUUAGAAGACUAUUACAGAAGGCUCUGUU
Molecule: ribosomal RNA, 784 nt
Filed under: Acusta toyenmongaiensis
Lineage: Eukaryota; Metazoa; Mollusca; Gastropoda; Stylommatophora; Camaenidae
Description: partial large subunit ribosomal RNA
Source: RNAcentral